GAAAAAGGUAAGGCACAACUUGGAAGACCCAAUAGUUUUCUAACUUCGCUUCUGGUGAAGCAACAGAGUUGGAACAAGCAGAUAUAUUAUAAUUGGGUCACCGGAAAGCCAAAAAGGUAACGCACAACUUGGAAGACCCAAUAGUUUUCUUACUUCGCUUCUGGUGAAGCAACGGAGUUGGAACAAGCAGAUAUAUUAUAAUUGGGUCACCGGAAAACGAAAGAGGUAACGCACAACUUGGAAGACCCAAUAGUUUUCUGACUUCGCUUCUGGUGAAGCAACGGAGUUGGAACAAGCAGAUAUAUUAUAAUUGGGUCACCGGAAAGCCAAAAAGGUAACGCACAACUUGGAAGACCCAAUAGUUUUCUAACUUCGCUUCUGGUGAAGCAACUGAGUUGGAACAAGCAGAUAUAUUAUAAUUAUGUCACCGGAAAACGAAAAAGGUAACGCACAACUUGGAAGAGCCUAUAGUUUCCUAACUUCGCUUCUGGUGAAGCAACGGAGUUGGAACAAGUAGAUAUGUUAUAAUUGUGUCGUCGGAAAGCGAAAAAGGUAACGCACAUCUUGGAAGAGCCUAUAGUUUCCUAACUUCGCUUCUGGUGAAGCAACUGAGUUGGAACAAGCAGAUAUAUUAUAAUUGGGUCACCGGAAAGCGAAAAAGUUAACACAGGGCUUGGAAGAACCUAUAGUUCUCUAAUUUCGUUUCCAGUGAAGCUACGCAGUUGAAAC
This is a long non-coding RNA of Diabrotica virgifera virgifera (western corn rootworm), 729 nucleotides long. RefSeq lists it as uncharacterized. The transcript is spliced from 3 exons. The record is from RefSeq and is a predicted model, not a curated record. Lineage: Eukaryota; Metazoa; Arthropoda; Insecta; Coleoptera; Chrysomelidae.